RNAcentral lists this ribosomal RNA (441 nucleotides) under uncultured Alphaproteobacteria bacterium. Its description in RNAcentral is "bacterial SSU rRNA". It matches the Rfam family "Bacterial small subunit ribosomal RNA", at positions 43 to 527 of the family's 1533-position model. The record is from RNAcentral. Lineage: Bacteria; Pseudomonadati; Pseudomonadota; Alphaproteobacteria.
CAGGCCUAACACAUGCAAGUCGAGCGGGCAUCGCAAGAUGUCAGCGGCAGACGGGAGAGUAACACGAUGGGAACAUGCCCUUCGGUUCGGAAUAACCCAGGGAAACUUGGACUAAUACCGGAUACGUCCGUAAGGAGAAAGAUUUAUCGCCGAAGGAUUGGCCCGCGUCCGAUUAGCUAGUUGGUGAGGUAAUGGCUCACCAAGGCGACGAUCGUUAGCUGGUCUGAGAGGACGAUCAGCCACACUGGGACUGAGACACGGCCCAGACUCCUACGGGAGGCAGCAGUGGGGAAUAUUGGACAAUGGGGGCAACCCUGAUCCAGCCAUGCCGCGUGAGUGAUGAAGGCCUUCGGGUUGUAAAGCUCUUUUGGCGGGGACGAUGAUGACGGUACCCGCAGAAUAAGCCCCGGCUAACUUCGUGCCAGCAGCCGCGGUAAUACA